Molecule: long non-coding RNA, 1743 nt
Organism: Girardinichthys multiradiatus
Lineage: Eukaryota; Metazoa; Chordata; Actinopteri; Cyprinodontiformes; Goodeidae
Exons: 2
Source: RefSeq, a predicted model, not a curated record
AUGGAUUACUCUUGACUAAAUGAGCAAAGGAACAGCUUUGAUGUCGGAGUCUGAGAGUUCUGUAUUGUCUGUUGUCUGCCACUAACCAUGCUUCACCACUAGAUGCCGCCAGAGCCCCGGUACCGAGGGUUAAGAGGUGCUGCCAAUUCCAAUCAUCUGGAGGGGUUUAAAAAGGGUUGGCUGUCAGCACUCCAGUGCCUGAGUGUUUGCCAUUGUGGUAACUUCUUCUGGACGACAACUGAAUUUUCACUCCAUUAAAGGUGUGGUUGUACUCACUCCUUCGUUGUGCUCCUUCCAGGUGAAUUCCAUGUCCUGGCUCCUGUUAGGAUCCUGUCGAAAACCCUGAACUCAAUCUUCCAAGAACCUCUGAAGAAUCAAGCUCCAGCUGGCACCCCAAGCUUCAUACUCCUAGACCUCAGGCAAGCGAACCUGCUCACCCUCCACCCAACCUCAAAUACACCGGGUGCUCUUCCACUGUAUGGACUGUCGUCAGUCGAACCCUCACCAAUGCGGUAACUACUUACCUUGGACCAGAUCCUCGACCAAGCGGCAGCUCUCGAUCCAACCUCUCAGGCUCCACAUCAAGCCUCCCUGGACAGACCUCCACUCCAACUCCUUUUGGUGUUUCCAGUCCUGAGUCCUGUUCCAUAAGUCAAACCUGCAGAAAAAAAACUUUUCUUUAGCCUCCUAAGUGUCUAUCUGCAUGUGGGUCAAAUCCGGGAAUAAAACCAUGGCAUUUGAAAUGUUUAAAUGUGAUAAAAUCAUAAUUUUUGUUUCAUUAUUAUUCAUGCAUGUUUAUGAUGACUUUAAAUAAAAAGCUACAGUUGUACUUGUGUCUUCAGAAUUACUGCUCUGAGAAACCUUAGAAACAGAAAUAUCCUGUAUUGUCCCUGAGUGAGGAACUUCAGGUGUACGAGCAUCAAAGUGACAUGAAAAAUGGACGAUUCUAGAUUCAAACAAAGGUAAAAAUAUAAAAAAAUUAAGAGAAAAGCUUUUGUGAAAUUCCAGCUGCUAUAGUCCGGUGGAUGUUUUCAGCUUUAGUGGGAAAUGAAAACAUUUGAGAUAAGAUAAACCUUAUCAACCACUGGGAGAAAUGUCAUUGAUGCCUGGGCAUCAGUGGGGCAACAGUAAAACCAUGCAGAUUUCAAUGAUAUAUGUACUGAUUAGAGUACUAAGAAUAAGAAAAUAGAGCAUUAUACAUUUUCAAAGGGAUUAAAAAUCCUUGAUCUUCUCCACAUGCUUUAAGAUCUGUAGACUGUAGUGUAUUUUUGUCAUGAUCAAUUGUUGUUUAUGGGGUUUAUUUAGCAUUUGGAUUAAUUUUGUUGUUUUUGUCAGUAAUGGUGUUCUGUAUUCAGUUAAUUGCUUUGUUUUGGGUUUCUUAGUUUUGUUGUGCAAUUUCCUUUGUGUCCUUCUCAGGUUCUCCCUCAGCUGUACUAUAUUCUCCUGAUCAGUCCAACCUGGUUCUCAUGCCACUCACCAGUCUUCCCAGUAGUUUAAAAGCCAGUCAACAUCUUACCACCUUACCUGGUCCUUCUAUUGUGUGUCUGCUGUUUGAUUCAUGUUGGUUUCCCUGUGCCCUAGUUGCUCCCCUCAUUCUAGUCUGUUAUUCAGCUCCUUGUACUUUUGUGAAAGUCUAGAGUAUAAAUGCACAAAAUUAAAUGGUUGUGAAGUCUUUUCAAAAAGAUUGUGUAGAAAUAUAGUUGCGUAAAUAUUAAAUGUUUGAAAUAAACAGUGUAAUUUCAA